This 78-nucleotide non-coding RNA is filed under the name Paenibacillus pini. RNAcentral describes it as "ZTP sequence". It matches the Rfam family "ZMP/ZTP riboswitch aptamer (pfl RNA motif)". From Rfam's summary of the family: Previously known as pfl RNA. ZMP is also known as AICAR. RNAcentral also lists the same sequence under 1 other name. The record is from RNAcentral. Lineage: Bacteria; Bacillati; Bacillota; Bacilli; Caryophanales; Paenibacillaceae.
UCGACUGUGUGUGACUGGCGGACAUGGGUAACCAUGAGGGAGCACAUGGAUAUAUAGCCGUACGCCUGGGCAAGAGGU